Molecule: transfer RNA, 62 nt
Filed under: Pseudostenophylax fumosus
Lineage: Eukaryota; Metazoa; Arthropoda; Insecta; Trichoptera; Limnephilidae
Description: tRNA-Ala
Source: RNAcentral
UGUAAUUUAUAAAAAAUAUUUAAUUUGCACUUAAAAAAAACCCCGGGGUUUGUCUUAAAACA